RNAcentral lists this transfer RNA (71 nucleotides) under Bos taurus (domestic cattle). It matches the Rfam family "tRNA". From Rfam's summary of the family: Transfer RNA (tRNA) molecules are approximately 80 nucleotides in length. Their secondary structure includes four short double-helical elements and three loops (D, anti-codon, and T loops). Further hydrogen bonds mediate the characteristic L-shaped molecular structure. tRNAs have two regions of fundamental functional importance: the anti-codon, which is responsible for specific mRNA codon recognition, and the 3' end, to which the tRNAs corresponding amino acid is attached (by aminoacyl-tRNA synthetases). tRNAs cope with the degeneracy of the genetic code in two manners: having more than one tRNA (with a specific anti-codon) for a particular amino acid; and 'wobble' base-pairing, i.e. permitting non-standard base-pairing at the 3rd anti-codon position. RNAcentral also lists the same sequence under 5 other names. Lineage: Eukaryota; Metazoa; Chordata; Mammalia; Artiodactyla; Bovidae. The record is from Rfam by way of RNAcentral.
UCCCUGGUGGCCUGGUGGCUAAGACUGCACUCCCAAUGCAGGGGGCCUGGGUUUGAUUCCUGGUCAGGGAA